AUGCAGUCGACGAUUAAGCUCCCUUCGGGGAGUGCAUAAAGUGGCGCACGGGUGAGUAACACGUAAGUAAUCUACCCUCGGGUGGGGAAUAACAUCGGGAAACCGAUGCUAAUACCGCAUAAUGCAGCGGCACCGCAAGGUGACAGUUGUUAAAGAUUUAUUGCCUGGGGAGGAGCUUGCGGCAGAUUAGCUUGUUGGUAAGGUAACGGCUUACCAAGGCUACGAUCUGUAUCCGGUCUAAGAGGACGGUCGGACACACUGACACUGAAUAACGGGUCAGACUCCUACGGGAGGCAGCAGUCGGGAAUUUUGGGCAAUGGGGGAAACCCUGACCCAGCAACGCCGCGUGAAGGAUGAAGUAUUUCGGUAUGUAAACUUCGAAAGAAUAGGAAGAAUUAAUGACGGUACUAUUUAUAAGGUCCGGCUAACUACGUGCCAGCAGC
This 443-nucleotide ribosomal RNA is filed under the name uncultured bacterium. RNAcentral describes it as "bacterial SSU rRNA". It matches the Rfam family "Bacterial small subunit ribosomal RNA", at positions 55 to 515 of the family's 1533-position model. The record is from RNAcentral.